CUCCGAAGUGAGAGGUUGUGUUGGAUGUGGCUCCGUUGACAGACUGGUUGCUUCAUCGCCGAAGUUAAUUUCAGUCGACGUUUAGGCAUUCAGUUUCUAUAGUUAUUACUUUUUCGAGUAUCUUUUUGAUUGAAAUGAAAUAGUUUAUGGCAGCGUUAUGUAUACAUACUACUAGAAGUUAAACACAGUUUGUGUAUAACUAACACGAAGAUUAAGGCGAUAACUACCCAAUCGUGAAAAGAAAACUCACUCGCGGACGAAGCUGGAUAUCAACUCCGACGUUUUCUAUGCUGAAGAAAAAGAAAAGAAAAUGAGAAGGAAAUAAGAAGGGAAACUUUUCUAAAGAGAAAAUCCCUCUAACAAUCCCCAUUUAUGAAGUGAAACGUCAUCUGAGAGAGAAUGAAAUAGGGGAGAUGCAAUUGAAUUGAUAAGAUUAGAGAACUGUCUAAGAAAGCAAUACAAUGAGGAAAAACGCGACUUUUAGAUUCCCUGUCCAGGCUCAUUACUUGCCAGAAGAGGUCAACUUCUGGACAAUGGCGAUAGUGGCUGUGGGCACGGGCUUCAUAUUCACCGUCGCCGUGUCAAUCUACCUCAUCUGCCAGACGCGGCUGGAACGCCCGUUAGCUGUGCGACGCCCACGGACGGUGAGGCAUAUCAGCCAUGGGCCCGACGCCCUCCCGCUCGCCCACGCCCACACGCUGAGCGACGCGGGCGCCCGUCGCCAGUGCUUCCUUCCGCCCACUUCGCUUCUCCAGCGUCUCGAAGAAAAAGAAUAGAUGGUUGAG
RNAcentral lists this long non-coding RNA (785 nucleotides) under Penaeus japonicus. Its description in RNAcentral is "uncharacterized LOC122267806". The record is from RNAcentral. Lineage: Eukaryota; Metazoa; Arthropoda; Malacostraca; Decapoda; Penaeidae.